CCCAACUCAGAAUCGUACCUGGAGAGUAUCCAGUACUCUACCAGUCUCGGCUUCCAGAUGGAUGGUUAAGCAGAGGUAUACACAUUCCAUUCCUAGCUCGUGCAGUGGCUAGCGGGUGGAAGACAACCUGCUACAAGU
This is a small nucleolar RNA of Tachyglossus aculeatus (Australian echidna), 138 nucleotides long. NCBI's taxonomy places the organism in Eukaryota, Metazoa, Chordata, Mammalia, Monotremata, Tachyglossidae. The record is from RefSeq and is a predicted model, not a curated record.